RNAcentral lists this ribosomal RNA (432 nucleotides) under uncultured bacterium. Its description in RNAcentral is "partial 16S ribosomal RNA". It matches the Rfam family "Bacterial small subunit ribosomal RNA", at positions 29 to 506 of the family's 1533-position model. The record is from RNAcentral.
AACGAACGCUGGCGGCAUGCCUAACACAUGCAAGUCGAACGAGACCUUCGGGUCUAGUGGCGCACGGGUGCGUAACGCGUGGGAACCUGCCCUUAGGUUCGGAAUAACUCCCCGAAAGGGGUGCUAAUACCGGAUAAUGUCUUCGGACCAAAGAUUUAUCGCCUUUGGAUGGGCCCGCGUUGGAUUAGCUAGUUGGUAGGGUAAAAGCCUACCAAGGCGACGAUCCAUAGCUGGUCUGAGAGGAUGCUCAGCCACACUGGGACUGAGACACGGCCCAGACUCCUGCGGGAGGCAGCAGUGGGGACUAUUGGACAAUGGGCGAAAGCCUGAUCCAGCAAUGCCGCGUGAGUGAUGAAGGCCUUAGGGUUGUAAAGCUCUUUUACCCGGGAUGAUAAUGCCAGUACCGGGAGAAUAAGCUCCGGCUAACUCCGU